This 68-nucleotide transfer RNA is filed under the name Pseudomyrmex gracilis. RNAcentral describes it as "tRNA-Arg". Lineage: Eukaryota; Metazoa; Arthropoda; Insecta; Hymenoptera; Formicidae. The record is from RNAcentral.
UCUUAUAAAGUAUUUAUAUACACUUAAUUUCGACUUAAGAAAAGAUUAUUAUAACUAAUCUAUAAGAA